This 409-nucleotide RNase P RNA is filed under the name Chloroflexota bacterium. RNAcentral's name for it is "Chloroflexi bacterium RNase P RNA component class A". It matches the Rfam family "Bacterial RNase P class A". From Rfam's summary of the family: Ribonuclease P (RNase P) is a ubiquitous endoribonuclease, found in archaea, bacteria and eukarya as well as chloroplasts and mitochondria. Its best characterised activity is the generation of mature 5'-ends of tRNAs by cleaving the 5'-leader elements of precursor-tRNAs. Cellular RNase Ps are ribonucleoproteins. The record is from RNAcentral. Lineage: Bacteria; Bacillati; Chloroflexota.
CGAGGCGGACGGGUGACCGCCGACCUAAUACGCGGUUUGGAGGAAAGUCCGGGCUCCACAGAGCAGGGCGCUGGGUAAUACCCAGUCGGGGCGACCCGAAGGAAAGUGCCACAGAAAAUUACCGCCCGGCAGCGUGAAUCUCCGGAGACACGACGUCAGGUAAGGGUGAAAAGGUGGGGUAAGAGCCCACCGGCGGCCGGGUGACCGGCCGGCCGGAUUAGCUCGCUGCGGCUUCUCGAUGAAUCUCCUGGUCCGCACGAUCUAAGUGGGCAGUAAGCGCGCGUUCCCCAGGGAACAAUUAGGGAACAGUCGCGGUCGAUCAGGCCGUGUCGUUGGAUGUCGUUUCGUAUUCGCAGGCGAGAAGUGAACUCGCUCCGACAGAACCCGGCUUACGCGCCGCUCUCGGCCC